GCUCAGCUGAUGAGUCGCAGAUGGGACGAAACGCGCGUUCUGGAU
Schistosoma mansoni is the source of this 45-nucleotide non-coding RNA. Lineage: Eukaryota; Metazoa; Platyhelminthes; Trematoda; Strigeidida; Schistosomatidae. The record is from Rfam.